AUUUUGUAUCAUUGUCUCUUGGCAUGUCACUUCUAUUUUGUUAUUGUUUUUUUAAUAAUUAUUAUCCAAAGCAAUAUUUUCCUUUGCGUUAGUUGCAGCUUUGUUUUUCUAAUGAUGGUAUCUGAAACUUCUUUCUGGUGCUAUGUUUUCUUAAGAUGUGCUAUAAUAAAUAUAAAUGGUUAGAAGAAAAGUUUUUAUGAAACCAUCACCGGAGCUUAGUACUAGACUUGGAUCUGAAUUGAUGAACUGAGGUGAAGUAUUGCUUAGCUGAUCUGUCUCAAGCAGCACAGCGUGUAUGAGAUCUCGUGGAUGGUAAAGCCACAGGGGGACUAAAUAACAGUAUAAUUAGCUAUAGAGGAGGAAGAAUUGGCAACAGCAAUGCAGUCCUUGAAUCGAUUAAGAGAUAGAUGUCUGACUAAGGGCGCAUUCUCAUAGCCUUUUUUUUUU
Long non-coding RNA from Cucurbita moschata (crookneck pumpkin), 447 nucleotides. RefSeq lists it as uncharacterized. The transcript is spliced from 2 exons. Lineage: Eukaryota; Viridiplantae; Streptophyta; Magnoliopsida; Cucurbitales; Cucurbitaceae. The record is from RefSeq and is a predicted model, not a curated record.